This 492-nucleotide ribosomal RNA is filed under the name uncultured bacterium. RNAcentral describes it as "partial 16S ribosomal RNA". It matches the Rfam family "Bacterial small subunit ribosomal RNA", at positions 29 to 507 of the family's 1533-position model. The record is from RNAcentral.
AGUGAACGCUGGCGGUAGGCCUAACACAUGCAAGUCGAACGGCAGCACAGUAAGAGCUUGCUCUUACGGGUGGCGAGUGGCGGACGGGUGAGGAAUACAUCGGAAUCUACUUUUUCGCGGGGGAUAACGUAGGGAAACUUACGCUAAUACCGCAUACGACCUACGGGUGAAAGCAGGGGAUCUUCGGACCUUGCGCGAUUGAAUGAGCCGAUGUCGGUUUAGCUAGUUGGCGGGGUAAAGGCCCACCCAGGCGACGAACCGUAGCUGGUCUGUGAGGAUGAUCAGCCACACUGGAACUGAGACACGGUCCAGACUCCUACGGGAGGCAGCAGUGGGGAAUAUUGGACAAGGGGCGCAAGCCUGAUCCAGCCAUACCGCGUGGGGGAAGAAGGCCUUCGGGUUGUAAAGCCCUUUUGUUGGGAAAGAAAAGCAGCAGGUGAAUACCCCGCUGUUCUGACGGUACCCAAAGAAUAAGCACCGGCUAACUUCGUG